CCUUCAUCUAUGCCCCCAUGCCCCUUCCCUCCCCUUCCACCACAACAGACUUACCAGCUGCACACAGCUGUAUUGGAAAUCAGAUUGGUAUCGGCUGAUAUGCCUCCUUAAAAAUUAGUUAUUGGUAUCAGCCUCAAAAAUCUCUGUCGGUGCACCCGUAAUUGCUAGCUCUUUCGCAGAGCAGCAAGUAUUUUAACUUUCCCACUGGGAAAAUGGGAAUAUCUUGAAAUAAUUGAGAAAAGUGUUCUUUUGAAGUGCAAAGAAUCAUUACUUGUAGGGCCUGAUGUUUCAUUGGUACAUGGCAAACACCCAUGUAAAAGAAGAGUAGGGAGAAGCUCUUACAUUGUAUGCAUUUAGCACAGAGUGUGGAUUAGACAGGACACUUGUCUAUGAUAUAAAAACAUCAGAGCACUUUUAGCAGUUGGGGGGGGGGGCCUAGAAUGGUGUUUCCCAACCCAUAGCUUCUGAGGCUGUGUUAUCUGCAAGACUCCCUGAUAUUCCUUGUAGCCACAGGAAAAUUUACUUUCCAGAGAACCUGCAGAAAUUUUUAAUAGAAAAAAAGUGGGAUGAUGCCUUUAAUACGUUACUUGCUCAGUAUUACUGCUCAUGGUCCAGUGCAGUUUGGGCCUACUGUAGUCAGUGGGGUUGAUAGUCCCGGUCAACUAAUGCCUGCAUUUCUACCCUGCCACUGGUUAAAUAACAAGUGUACGGACAACAGCUUAUAAACUAAUGAGCUUUACCACAAGCAUUUUGAAAUGGCAAGUGAGCACUGUGAGAUUGUAGCGUGAGGAUGAAGACUGACAGUGGCUGCUGUGUGCAUCUUCAUGCCGAAUGCAACCUUUGAAUAUCACCUAGAAAGUGAAGCUACGUAGGCUGUUUGGUUUCCUGCUGAAAAACUGACUUGUCUUGAAGCAGCUGGGAGACAAAAUUCUUCCUUGAUGUAGCUCUGCUGCAAUCCUACCCAACAGUCCAGGCUAGGUACUUUGUGCUAGUUCAGCAGUGAUUUGUUAGAGAAGAGAAACACCUGUUGGUAAAAGGUGGUACUGCAGAGGUAACCAGGAUUGGGAACUGCUCAUCGCUGCUAGAUGCAUUGUUAGUUUAUAGACAUCAUCCAAUGGCAUUGACUACUGGAAAGGCAUAUCCACUAAAAUACUGACUGUUAAGAGUUGCUGUUGCAUCAGUUUGUGCGGAAGGAGUGAGAAGAAGAACCCCCCUGGAAUAACUAGUCUAGAAAAAAUCAGUUAUAAAGAAUUCUUCCUGAGGCAGUCAGGCUUACAUCCUGGUAAAUACAAAACUUUUGCACCAGGCUGGGCCAGCAACUUGGCUAAGGAGCUGCCAGAUGAUCAGGGCUAGAGAGUGAGAGCCUCUACUGCCCAGGAUGAAGCAUCAAGAAAGAGAAAUGUCUUCCAGGGUAGCCAGAUGUCAAGUUACGUAGGAUUUGACAGGUCAAAGGCAACACCCCUAGUUGCACCUGGAAACAAAAUAGGAAGCUAGUGAUGCAGGCAACAAGAUUUUGUGAGAGAGAUCAAUUUUCUUCUCAGGCUUAAAUAUCCAGCCAAGUCUUUGAUCACAGCCUUGUAUUGAAUGGCCAGGUGUGGAAGAGGCAUGAAUAUCCUGUAGCAAGGUACGAACUGGAGGGUAAGGUUCACGCACACUCCCUGUCAGAUACGAGAUAAACCGUCUUCACUGUUGCAGUCUGAGAACCUGAGAAAACCUCCUCCAGUCGUAACCAGCUCAACAGAGGGAAUGGAAAUUACUUUUGCCAUGAAGUGACCUUUAUCUUGUCUGGAUUACUCUUCAGAUGAAUUGCUUUUAUCCAAGUGCUGAUCCUUGUCCAAUACUGUACUGUUUACAUUCAGCAAGAGGAGACUCAAAGGGCUGCUGUUAGGCUAAAGACAUUAAAGCAUUUUGAGAUGUCCAGUUCGAGGCUGCUCCAGAAGAGCAAAAUAUAAUAAAUGCACACUGUGUUUAAAGGUA
Molecule: long non-coding RNA, 1977 nt
Organism: Alligator sinensis (Chinese alligator)
Lineage: Eukaryota; Metazoa; Chordata; Crocodylia; Alligatoridae
Exons: 2
Source: RefSeq, a predicted model, not a curated record